This 233-nucleotide ribosomal RNA is filed under the name uncultured bacterium. Its description in RNAcentral is "partial 16S ribosomal RNA". It matches the Rfam family "Bacterial small subunit ribosomal RNA", at positions 118 to 347 of the family's 1533-position model. The record is from RNAcentral.
UGAGCAAUCUGCCCUUCUCUCUGGAAUAAGCGUUGGAAACGACGUCUAAUGCCGAAUACGACCUCCUUUCGCAUGAUCGGAGGUGGAAAGCUCCGGCGGAGAAGGAUGAGCUCGCGGCCUAUCAGCUAGUUGGUGUGGGUAAUGGCCCACCAAGGCGACGACGGGUAGCCGGCCUGAGAGGGUGACCGGCCACACUGGGACUGAGACACGGCCCAGACUCCGUACGGGAGCAG